This 516-nucleotide ribosomal RNA is filed under the name Triticum aestivum (bread wheat). RNAcentral's name for it is "partial small subunit ribosomal RNA". Lineage: Eukaryota; Viridiplantae; Streptophyta; Magnoliopsida; Poales; Poaceae. The record is from RNAcentral.
AUGGCUCCGCGUUCAGCCGCUCUCGCUCUCAAGGCAGCCGCCGUCGCCGCCAUUCUCGCCAUGCUGGUUGCGCCUUCUUUGGGGCGCUGCGGUCACCCUCAGGCGCCGGCGCCGGCAGCCCCACCGCCGCCAACACCCACACCACCACCACCACCACCACCUCCGGCACCGGUGCCGGGGCCUGGGCCUGGGCCAACGAUAUCGUGCAACGACUGUUUUUCGCAGUGCUACUCACCAUGUGAAGCCUCCAUUGCCUCGAACUGCAGCAGCUACUGCGACGGGGUUGAGUAUGCAUGCAACUCCUGCAAGAUGGACGUGACCGAGGGCUGCAAGAAAGCAAACAACUGCACCGGCAGCUGCGACGAGUGCAACUUCGACCCUAGCCCUUCGUGCGUCAGCCCCUGCACCACCCGAUACUGCGACCUCUGCCGAUACGGGCUGGGGCAGCAGUGCCGGGAAACCUGCCAGAAGGAGUGUUCUGCGCCCAAAUGCGUACCAUGGAGCCCUCAGAACUAG